This 1500-nucleotide ribosomal RNA is filed under the name Escherichia coli. RNAcentral describes it as "partial 23S ribosomal RNA". It matches the Rfam family "Bacterial large subunit ribosomal RNA", at positions 1200 to 2682 of the family's 2925-position model. The record is from RNAcentral. Lineage: Bacteria; Pseudomonadati; Pseudomonadota; Gammaproteobacteria; Enterobacterales; Enterobacteriaceae.
CUGCGGCAGCGACACUAUGUGUUGUUGGGUAGGGGAGCGUUCUGUAAGCCUGUGAAGGUGGCCUGUGAGGGUUGCUGGAGGUAUCAGAAGUGCGAAUGCUGACAUAAGUAACGAUAAAGCGGGUGAAAAGCCCGCUCGCCGGAAGACCAAGGGUUCCUGUCCAACGUUAAUCGGGGCAGGGUGAGUCGACCCCUAAGGCGAGGCCGAAAGGCGUAGUCGAUGGGAAACAGGUUAAUAUUCCUGUACUUGGUGUUACUGCGAAGGGGGGACGGAGAAGGCUAUGUUGGCCGGGCGACGGUUGUCCCGGUUUAAGCGUGUAGGCUGGUUUUCCAGGCAAAUCCGGAAAACCAAGGCUGAGGCGUGAUGACGAGGCACUACGGUGCUGAAGUGACAAAUGCCCUGCUUCCAGGAAAAGCCUCUAAGCAUCAGGUAACAUCAAAUCGUACCCCAAACCGACACAGGUGGUCAGGUAGAGAAUACCAAGGCGCUUGAGAGAACUCGGGUGAAGGAACUAGGCAAAAUGGUGCCGUAACUUCGGGAGAAGGCACGCUGAUAUGUAGGUGAAGCGACUUGCUCGUGGAGCUGAAAUCAGUCGAAGAUACCAGCUGGCUGCAACUGUUUAUUAAAAACACAGCACUGUGCAAACACGAAAGUGGACGUAUACGGUGUGACGCCUGCCCGGUGCCGGAAGGUUAAUUGAUGGGGUUAGCGGUAACGCGAAGCUCUUGAUCGAAGCCCCGGUAAACGGCGGCCGUAACUAUAACGGUCCUAAGGUAGCGAAAUUCCUUGUCGGGUAAGUUCCGACCUGCACGAAUGGCGUAAUGAUGGCCAGGCUGUCUCCACCCGAGACUCAGUGAAAUUGAACUCGCUGUGAAGAUGCAGUGUACCCGCGGCAAGACGGAAAGACCCCGUGAACCUUUACUAUAGCUUGACACUGAACAUUGAGCCUUGAUGUGUAGGAUAGGUGGGAGGCUUUGAAGUGUGGACGCCAGUCUGCAUGGAGCCGACCUUGAAAUACCACCCUUUAAUGUUUGAUGUUCUAACGUUGGCCCCUAAUCGGGGUUGCGGACAGUGUCUGGUGGGUAGUUUGACUGGGGCGGUCUCCUCCUAAAGAGUAACGGAGGAGCACGAAGGUUGGCUAAUCCUGGUCGGACAUCAGGAGGUUAGUGCAAUGGCAUAAGCCAGCUUGACUGCGAGCGUGACGGCGCGAGCAGGUGCGAAAGCAGGUCAUAGUGAUCCGGUGGUUCUGAAUGGAAGGGCCAUCGCUCAACGGAUAAAAGGUACUCCGGGGAUAACAGGCUGAUACCGCCCAAGAGUUCAUAUCGACGGCGGUGUUUGGCACCUCGAUGUCGGCUCAUCACAUCCUGGGGCUGAAGUAGGUCCCAAGGGUAUGGCUGUUCGCCAUUUAAAGUGGUACGCGAGCUGGGUUUAGAACGUCGUGAGACAGUUCGGUCCCUAUCUGCCGUGGGCGCUGGAGAACUGAGGGGGGCUGCUCCUAGU